RNA transcript from Tachysurus fulvidraco (yellow catfish), 3022 nucleotides. It is a transcript of the gene named prune homolog 2 with BCH domain, with no coding region annotated. The transcript has 12 exons. The record is from RefSeq and is a predicted model, not a curated record. NCBI's taxonomy places the organism in Eukaryota, Metazoa, Chordata, Actinopteri, Siluriformes, Bagridae.
UCUCUGCACGCUUAAGCUCAGUGCUAUUGGAGCUGCACUCAUUCUUCUGUGUCAGCCUCAGAGAGCAGCCUCAGGCUCUUAUUUAAUGCUGGAGUGGUCACAUGACUACAAAAUGGUGGAGGCUGUCAGUUGGUGAGCUGAGCAUCUUUGUAGCUGCGCAGAGGAACGAAGAGAAACACAGAAACCUUUCUCUCUCUCUCUCUCUCUCUCUCUCUCUCUCUCUCUCUCUCUCUCUCUCUCUCUCUCUCUCACACACACACACACAUACACACACACACACACACACACACACACACACACACACACAGAUGAUCUCUGAAACCUGGAGCAGCAGUGUGGGAUUGAAAGAUUGAACGCAAAGGAGAAGUGUGUAUCAGCAGUGAUCCCCGUCCUCUCUGUCCCCCGGUAAUGAGGGGAUGGAGCAGCCUCCUGAACACAAGAUGAGCUCUGAUGGGACAGAAGGCAGACCAGCUCCUCCCACUACUCUGCCACUGAAGGGCGAUGAAGGCGGCUCUCAGAGGAAAAAGCUCUCAGCCCCUCGGAUCAGCCUCUCGUUAGAUCAAAGCGAAGACGACCUGUUUGACACGCCUGAUGACUUGGACAUUAACGUGGACGAUUUGGACACACCUGACGAGGCUGACAUCCUGGACUACACUGAUCAUGAGUUGGACUGGGAAGAGCCUCAGGAAUCCCAGAGAGCCCCAGUGAAGGAAGAGUCUGAACCCAUCCCUACCUACACCUCUGAGGAGGACCGACAGGACUCCAAACUUUGGAGGACUGUUAUCAUCGGCGAACAGGAGCACCGCAUCAACAUGAAGUGUAUUGAACCCUACCAAAAAGUCAUCUCCCAUGGAGGCUACUACGGAAACGGCACGAAUGCCAUCAUUGUAUUUGCCGCUUGCUUCCUUCCGGACAGCGAUAGCGAGGACUAUCAUGAAAUAAUGGAGAACCUCUUUCUGUAUGUGAUCAGCACGUUGGAGCUGAUGGUAGCGGAGGACUACAUGAUCGUAUAUCUGAACGGGGCCACGCCUCACAGGAGGACGCCUGGCCUCGGUUGGCUGAAGAGGUGCUACCAGAUGAUCGACAGGAGGCUUCGAAAGAACCUGAAAUCUUUUAUUAUUGUUCAUCCUUCCUGGUUUAUCAGGACUAUCCUGGCCAUCACCAGACCCUUUAUCAGUUCAAAGUUCAGCAGUAAGAUUAAGUAUGUGAACAGUUUAGCAGAGCUGGAAGAGCUCAUCCCUAUGGAAUAUGUCCAUAUUCCUGAAUGCAUCAUCAAAACAUGUCGAGAUGGGAGGGUGGGCUGUGGGGAAGAGGAGCGAAAGUCUGCACAGAGGAUUCAAAAAAAGAGGUUGGAGGUUGAAGGGUGGGCAAACGAAUGAUCUCAGGAUACAAAUUUGCAGCGUCCUUGCGCAUGAUGAUGAAACUCGACGAGGAGUUACAGGAAGCAGGAGAGAACUCGAAAAUCAACAGCUUCCUCCAGGGACCUGACGUGCCACAGCCAACAGCUCAACAAAGUGCAAGCAGUUCCUAAUACAAGGACGCAAUGAAGGAAUGCAUGGCCUGUGUAUGCGUGUGUGUUUGUAUGUGUGUGUGUAUGUGUGUGUAUGUGUGUGUGUGUGUGUGAUAAUAAUUGAGAUAAAGUUGGACUCUACCCCUUCAAUAUCUACUGUCCUAACACACAUCCUCAGAAAGUGCUGCUGAUCUCAUGAACUGGUUUCCAGCACUGACCAGUCACAGAAUCAUCCGAUCAUCUCUCAGACGGACAUCGUAAUGUCUUCUCGUGAUAUGCCUUCCAUUUUCUUUUCUUUUCUUUUCUUUUCUGAAUGCAUGAGCAGCAAUAAUAUCAUUUUUAUCCUAACAUCAUCCUCAUGCUGAUACACACAUACACAACAUGAUCAUGUAGUAGAAUAAGAACAACACCUCAGUGUAUCCUCACACGGGAAUCCUGAACGUUGGAAAUGUUUUUUAGCGGAAACGCUUAAAUAGACUUUUAUCUCUUUGUAGAAUUUAAUGUUAUGAACUGCAAAAAAAAAAAAAAGAUCCUUGGAAUAACGUGAGGUUAUACAUCAGCACUUGUUAAGCCUCCACAGCAGACUUUUAUCCGGUCUAGACAGACAGACACACAGACAGACAGACACGCAGACGGCUAGAUACUGUAGAUAAAAGAUCAGACCCCAGACAAGGCAAUAACAUUUGUCCAACGGUUAGAAGCGACUGGACUCUGUGAAGGCUGAUGUUUGGUAGGAUUCAGAAUGAGGAGCUUGUGCUUUAGUUAAAUAUUCAGAUCGUAUCAAAUUUAAACAAACGCACAAAAAUCAAGACUAAAUAAAUUCAAUUCGAAAUGUUUUUAUAUUUGCUGUUGUUAAACUACUCAUCGGAUGAUAAACGAUUCAUCUGGAUAUGAAAUCUGUGUAUCAUGUUACUGAUCUGUUCACCUGGUCUUCUAGCCUGUAGUGUGUAAAAAAACAGCUCAAAGUGAGCCCUGAAAACCUCAGUGUAUGUGUGUGUUUUCAUUCACAGUGUUUGAUAUGAGAAAUAUAUAUCUAUAUAUAUAUGCAUAAACAUACAACACUGAAUAAAUCCUCCCGGCAUGCAGAUACGGAUUUCUAAAGCGUCUCUCCAUGUAGCUCCUGUGUCUACAUUCUGUACCGACAUGUAGUUGUUGUCUGUGAGCGUGAACGUGUGCGAGUUGUUUGUAGGUGUGAUUGUGUUUCGGUUGUGCGUUUGUGUGCUGUUAGGUCUCUCAGGUUGCUGUAAACAGGAAAUGACCUCAUAGACGGACAAAGGACAGUGCAGCUGCAAAGCACAAUAUCCAUAUCUCUGUGGUGUGUGUGUGUGUGUGUGUGUGUGUGUGUGUGUGUGUGUGUGUGUGUGUGUGUGUGCGGGUGAAGGCAUGUCACUGCAUGUCUCAUAGCUGUUAAUGUAGUAAAAAUGUGGUCAUUUGGAAUAAAGUUAAUAUAUAUAGACCCAGAGGCCUUGUAAAAUAAUGCAGAUCACAUCAAUAAAUUUACCUCUAAUCUAA